GCUUAUCUUGCGCAGCUUAGGUGGGAGGCUAUGAACCUUUUCUUCUGGGAAGAGGGGAGCCAUCAGUGAGAUACCACUCUUGGUAAGCUAGAGCGCUCAGUCUUCACCGUCAUCCGGUAAGACGACAGUUUCAGGCGGGCAGUUUGACUGGGGCAGUCACCUCCCAAAAGGUAAUGGAGGUGUGCAAAGGUUCCCUCAGGCUGGACGGAAAUCAGCCAUAGAGUGUAAAAGCAUAAGGGAGCUUGACUGCGAGACUGACAUGUCAAGCAGAGACGAAAGUCGGCUUUAGUGAUCCGACGGUGCUGUGUGGAAAGGCCGUCGCUCAACGGAUAAAAGUUACUCUAGGGAUA
This 350-nucleotide ribosomal RNA is filed under the name uncultured eukaryote. RNAcentral's name for it is "LSU rRNA". It matches the Rfam family "Bacterial large subunit ribosomal RNA", at positions 2127 to 2476 of the family's 2925-position model. The record is from RNAcentral.